GCUUGUCUCAAAGAUUAAGCCAUGCAUGUCUAAGUAUAAGCACUUAUACCGUGAAACUGCGAAUGGCUCAUUAUAUCAGUUAUAGUUUAUUUGAUAGUACUUACUACUUGGAUAACCGUAGUAAUUCUAGAGCUAAUACAUGCAUCAAGCCCUGACAGCAAUGAAAGGGUGGAUUUAUUAGAUUGAAACCAAUGCAGUCUUCGGGCUGGUAUUGUGUUGAGUCAUAAUAACUGUGCGGAUCGCGUUUUACGCGAUAAAUCGAUUGAGUUUCUGCCCUAUCAGCUUUGGAUGGUAGGAUAUGGGCCUACCAUGGCAUUAACGGGUAACGGGGAAUUAGGGUUUGAUUCCGGAGAGGGAGCCUUAGAAACGGCUACCACAUCCAAGGAAGGCAGCAGG
RNAcentral lists this ribosomal RNA (396 nucleotides) under Phytopythium oedochilum. RNAcentral describes it as "partial small subunit ribosomal RNA". It matches the Rfam family "Eukaryotic small subunit ribosomal RNA", at positions 30 to 432 of the family's 1831-position model. Lineage: Eukaryota; Oomycota; Peronosporomycetes; Pythiales; Pythiaceae. The record is from RNAcentral.